GUGGGGAAUAUUGGACAAUGGGCGAAAGCCUGAUCCAGCCAUGCCGCGUGUGUGAAGAAGGUCUUCGGAUUGUAAAGCACUUUAAGUUGGGAGGAAGGGCAGUAAGUUAAUACCUUGCUGUUUUGACGUUACCGACAGAAUAAGCACCGGCUAACUUCGUGCCAGCAGCCGCGGUAAUACGAAGGGUGCAAGCGUUAAUCGGAAUUACUGGGCGUAAAGCGCGCGUAGGUGGUUUUGUAAGUUGGAGGUGAAAUCCCCGGGCUCAACCUGGGAACUGCCUCCGAAACUGCAUGACUAGAGUACGGUAGAGGGUAGUGGAAUUUCCUGUGUAGCGGUGAAAUGCGUAGAUAUAGGAAGGAACACCAGUGGCGAAGGCGACUACCUGGACUGAUACUGACACUGAGGUGCGAAAGCGUGGGGAGCAAACAGGAUUAGAAACCCGGGUAGUCC
RNAcentral lists this ribosomal RNA (450 nucleotides) under uncultured bacterium. RNAcentral's name for it is "bacterial SSU rRNA". It matches the Rfam family "Bacterial small subunit ribosomal RNA", at positions 354 to 796 of the family's 1533-position model. The record is from RNAcentral.